AGCUUUGCACAGUGGCAGUAUCGUAGCCAAUGAGGUUUAUCCGAGGCACGAUCAUUGCUAAUUGAAAAGUCCAGAUUAGCCUAGAAAUAAUAAAACAUUUGAACAGCCAAGAGGC
Molecule: small nuclear RNA, 115 nt
Organism: Vulpes vulpes (red fox)
Lineage: Eukaryota; Metazoa; Chordata; Mammalia; Carnivora; Canidae
Gene: U4
Rfam family: U4 spliceosomal RNA
About the family: U4 small nuclear RNA (U4 snRNA) is a component of the major U2-dependent spliceosome. The structure of U4 snRNA from yeast and human has been reported.
Source: Ensembl